Capsicum annuum is the source of this 713-nucleotide long non-coding RNA. RefSeq lists it as uncharacterized. Lineage: Eukaryota; Viridiplantae; Streptophyta; Magnoliopsida; Solanales; Solanaceae. The transcript has 3 exons. The record is from RefSeq and is a predicted model, not a curated record.
ACCAAAAUAGUACGAAUCCAACUCAUUCAUGGGACUUUAUCUAUCAGCCUUUUAGAAUUUCGAACAUGUCCCUCAUAAUUUCCAUCCCACAUCACUAAAAAACAACAAUUCAACUCAAAAAUAUUUUCUGUAUAUAUUCCUAUUAUUUUCACUGAAAGGUGGGGAAGUUCGGAUAGCGAGAACCCCAAGAAAGCAUAGGAUUUUGCUAUCUGAAGAAGGAUUUCGGUGCUGAGAAAUUCGAUAAGGCUUGUUUUGAGCUCGAAUAUAUAGGAUAAGAAUCCAAGUUCAUUUCGGUGAUGGUAGAGAGAUUCUGACAAAGCCUGUAGUCCGGUUUUCUGCUUGCAAAGAGGUUCGGAGGCUCAAUUUCUUGAUCGCAGUUGGACAGCCUAAUAUUACCUAGUAGCUAUAGUGGUACUGAGGCACAGUCUAGUGGUCCAGAUCCUCAGUAGAGUCUACAGAUAGGGUUGUCUCAGAGUUCAGUUGGUGAGCCUUCUUUGCUUCGGAAGGCCUAGUCAUUUAGGUAUUUAUUUCAGUAUGAUUUUUGGUCUGCUGGGGGCCUUGUCCCAGUUAUUCAGAUAGUAUGUCAGUAGAGAUUUCGCAGACUGUUGCAGAUGUUUAUUAAAUAUUGUUGGGCAUGUUUUCAGGCCUUUAACUAUUUUAAAUUGUUGACCAUAUUUUCGUAUUAUUAUGUCUAAUCCGUAUUACUUUGAUUA